Molecule: transfer RNA, 62 nt
Filed under: Cassida circumdata
Lineage: Eukaryota; Metazoa; Arthropoda; Insecta; Coleoptera; Chrysomelidae
Also listed under: 1 other name
Description: tRNA-Gly
Source: RNAcentral
AUUUACAUAAUAUAAAAAUUAUAUUUAACUUCCAAUUAAAAAAUCUAGAAAUAGUGUAAAUA